AUGCAAGUUCACCUUGGGAAGGACUCUGUCUCGACACAGACCAAAAUACAAGUUUUGGAGGAGAGAGAUUUUGCAGAUUAUGAAUAUAUGGUUAGAAAAGGAGAGGUGAGGAAGGAGAGUGACUUUGCUACAGGCCAACCUAAGCUCUCUACCAGACGGGUCCUACAUAACAGGACAGGCACCGGUGGGCACGCCUUCCUUUUGCAUGUACUCCAGCAGUCAUCUGGAGAUCAGGCAAAGAGCUCUGAGGCUCUUCCAGCAGGCAGCCCGCAAGGUGGUGAUUCAAUGUCGUGUGAACAACAGACUGGUCUCGUUGAGGCAGCUGACUCAGAGCCUGUCCACAGGAGUAAGCGUUGA
Molecule: long non-coding RNA, 357 nt
Filed under: Salmo trutta (river trout)
Lineage: Eukaryota; Metazoa; Chordata; Actinopteri; Salmoniformes; Salmonidae
Description: lncRNA (ENSSTUG00000016611.1)
Source: RNAcentral